This 465-nucleotide ribosomal RNA is filed under the name Vreelandella stevensii. RNAcentral's name for it is "partial 16S ribosomal RNA". It matches the Rfam family "Bacterial small subunit ribosomal RNA", at positions 338 to 795 of the family's 1533-position model. The record is from RNAcentral. Lineage: Bacteria; Pseudomonadati; Pseudomonadota; Gammaproteobacteria; Oceanospirillales; Halomonadaceae.
CCUACGGGAGGCAGCAGUGGGGAAUAUUGGACAAUGGGGGCAACCCUGAUCCAGCCAUGCCGCGUGUGUGAAGAAGGCCCUCGGGUUGUAAAGCACUUUCAGUGAGGAAGAACGCCUGGUGGUUAAUACCCAUCAGGAAAGACAUCACUCACAGAAGAAGCACCGGCUAACUCCGUGCCAGCAGCCGCGGUAAUACGGAGGGUGCGAGCGUUAAUCGGAAUUACUGGGCGUAAAGCGCGCGUAGGUGGCUUGAUAAGCCGGUUGUGAAAGCCCCGGGCUCAACCUGGGAACGGCAUCCGGAACUGUCAAGCUAGAGUGCAGGAGAGGAAGGUAGAAUUCCCGGUGUAGCGGUGAAAUGCGUAGAGAUCGGGAGGAAUACCAGUGGCAAAGGCGGCCUUCUGGACUGACACUGACACUGAGGUGCGAAAGCGUGGGUAGCAAACAGGAUUAGAUACCCUAGUAGUC